AUAGGUCUAGCUCAGUGGUAGAGCGCAUGCUUAGCAUGCAUGAGGUCCUGAGUUCAAUCCCUAGUACCUCCA
Molecule: transfer RNA, 72 nt
Filed under: Camelus bactrianus (Bactrian camel)
Lineage: Eukaryota; Metazoa; Chordata; Mammalia; Artiodactyla; Camelidae
Also listed under: 2 other names
Rfam family: tRNA
About the family: Transfer RNA (tRNA) molecules are approximately 80 nucleotides in length. Their secondary structure includes four short double-helical elements and three loops (D, anti-codon, and T loops). Further hydrogen bonds mediate the characteristic L-shaped molecular structure. tRNAs have two regions of fundamental functional importance: the anti-codon, which is responsible for specific mRNA codon recognition, and the 3' end, to which the tRNAs corresponding amino acid is attached (by aminoacyl-tRNA synthetases). tRNAs cope with the degeneracy of the genetic code in two manners: having more than one tRNA (with a specific anti-codon) for a particular amino acid; and 'wobble' base-pairing, i.e. permitting non-standard base-pairing at the 3rd anti-codon position.
Source: Rfam by way of RNAcentral